UGUAGCACAGUGGUAGAGCAUUUGUCUAGCAAGCAUGAGGUCCUGGGUUCGAUCCCAGUA
This 60-nucleotide transfer RNA is filed under the name Marmota marmota marmota (Alpine marmot). It matches the Rfam family "tRNA", at positions 6 to 65 of the family's 71-position model. Rfam says of the family: Transfer RNA (tRNA) molecules are approximately 80 nucleotides in length. Lineage: Eukaryota; Metazoa; Chordata; Mammalia; Rodentia; Sciuridae. The record is from Rfam by way of RNAcentral. RNAcentral also lists the same sequence under 2 other names.